Molecule: ribosomal RNA, 468 nt
Filed under: uncultured bacterium
Lineage: Bacteria
Description: partial 16S ribosomal RNA
Rfam family: Bacterial small subunit ribosomal RNA
Source: RNAcentral
GACGAACGCUGGCGGCGUGCUUAACACAUGCAAGUCGAACGGAAAGGCCCUGCUUUUGUGGGGUGCUCGAGUGGCGAACGGGUGAGUAACACGUGAGUAACCUGCCCUUGACUUUGGGAUAACUUCAGGAAACUGGGGCUAAUACCGGAUAGGAGCUCCUGCUGCAUGGUGGGGGUUGGAAAGUUUCGGCGGUUGGGGAUGGACUCGCGGCUUAUCAGCUUGUUGGUGGGGUAGUGGCUUACCAAGGCUUUGACGGGUAGCCGGCCUGAGAGGGUGACCGGCCACCUUGGGGCUUAGAUUCGGCCCAGACUCCUACGGGAGGCAGCAGGGGGGAAUAUUGCACAAUGGGCGGAAGCCUGAUGCAGGCACGCCGCGUGCGGGAUGACGGCCUUCGGGUUGUAAACCGCUUUCGCCUGUGACGAAGCGUGAGUGACGGUAAUGGGUAAAGAAGCACCGGCUAACUACGUG